ACUGCUCAGUAACACGUGGAUAACCUGCCCUUGGGUCCGGCAUAACCCCGGGAAACUGGGGAUAAUUCCGGAUAACGCACAUAUGCUGGAAUGCUUUAUGCGUAAAAUGGAUUCGUCUGCCCAAGGAUGGGUCUGCGGCCUAUCAGGUAGUAGUGGGUGUAAUGUACCUACUAGCCAACAACGGGUACGGGUUGUGAGAGCAAGAGCCCGGAGAUGGAUUCUGAGACAUGAAUCCAGGCCCUACGGGGCGCAGCAGGCGCGAAAACUUUACAAUGCGGGAAACCGUGAUAAGGGGACACCGAGUGCCAGCAUCAUAUGCUGGCUGUCCAGGUGUGUAAAAUACACCUGUUAGCAAGGGCCGGGCAAGACCGGUGCCAGCCGCCGCGGUAACACCGGCGGCCCGAGUGGUGAUCGUGAUUAUUGGGUCUAAAGGGUCCGUAGCCGGUUUGGUCAGUCCUCCGGGAAAUCUGACGGCUCAACCGUUAGGCUUUCGGGGGAUACUGCCAGGCUUGGAACCGGGAGAGGUAAGAGGUACUACAGGGGUAGGAGUGAAAUCUUGUAAUCCCUGUGAGACCACCUGUGGCGAAGGCGUCUUACCAGAACGGGUUCGACGGUGAGGGACGAAAGCUGGGGGCACGAACCGGAUUAGAUACCCGGGUAGUCCCAGCCGUAAACGAUGCUCGUUAGGUGUCAGGCAUGGCGCGUCCGUGUCUGGUGCCGCAGGGAAGCCGUGAAGCGAGCCACCUGGGAAGUACGGCCGCAAGGCUGAAACUUAAAGGAAUUGGCGGGGGAGCAC
This 796-nucleotide ribosomal RNA is filed under the name uncultured archaeon. RNAcentral describes it as "bacterial SSU rRNA". It matches the Rfam family "Archaeal small subunit ribosomal RNA", at positions 85 to 879 of the family's 1478-position model. The record is from RNAcentral.